GACGAACGCUGGCGGCGUGCCUAAUACAUGCAAGUAGAACGCACAGUUUAUACCGUAGCUUGCUACACCAUAGACUGUGAGUUGCGAACGGGUGAGUAACGCGUAGGUAACCUGCCUGGUAGCGGGGGAUAACUAUUGGAAACGAUAGCUAAUACCGCAUAAUAUUGAUUAUUGCAUGAUAAUUGAUUGAAAGAUGCUAUUGCAUCACUACCAGAUGGACCUGCGUUGUAUUAGCUAGUAGGUGAGGUAACGGCUCACCUAGGCGACGAUACAUAGCCGACCUGAGAGGGUGAUCGGCCACACUGGGACUGAGGCACGGCCCAGACUCCUACGGGAGGCAGCAGUAGGGAAUCUUCGGCAAUGGACGAAAGUCUGACCGAGCAACGCCGCGUGAGUGAAGAAGGUUUUCGGAUCGUAAAGCUCUGUUGUAAGAGAAGAACGGGUGUGAGAGUGGAAAGUUCACACUGUGACGGUAUCUUACCAGAAAGGGAUGGCUAACUACGUG
RNAcentral lists this ribosomal RNA (505 nucleotides) under uncultured bacterium. RNAcentral describes it as "partial 16S ribosomal RNA". It matches the Rfam family "Bacterial small subunit ribosomal RNA", at positions 28 to 507 of the family's 1533-position model. The record is from RNAcentral.